RNAcentral lists this unclassified non-coding RNA (809 nucleotides) under Hevea brasiliensis (rubber tree). Lineage: Eukaryota; Viridiplantae; Streptophyta; Magnoliopsida; Malpighiales; Euphorbiaceae. The record is from RNAcentral.
GAGUUCCAAACAGGCUUUUCUGUACUGCAGACAAUCAAAACACAAUCAGUCAACAUUGUAGAACUUAAAAGACAAGUUGACAGAAAAUUAACAAAAAGAGUAGAAAAAGAAUAAAAAGAACUGCCGAGCAAUGAAGACUUAAAAGAAGAUAUUCUCUUGCAGGGAAGAAUUUUGAACAUUAAGCUGACAAGUUAACCCAAAUAUCAGGUCAUUGAAGCAUGUUAAAACAUGAAACAUGUUGGUCAACUUCAUUCUUUUCCGAAAAGUAACACAAAAAACAAGAAUGUUUAUAGGUAACUUCAUAUAUGAGCAAAUUUCAUGAAAAUAUGAUUAGCUACACACUAGUUGCAGGCAAUUUCACCCUCUUAAUUAUUGAUGCAAUGACAAUAUCAUUAUCAUAAAAGAAUUAUCCUUAGCCCCUAAAUUGAUUGUACAAUAUGAUUGUGUAAUACAUUCAAUCCUCUCACAAAGCAUUACGUCCCAUUUGUAGGACUCCUCUACAGACCCCACAUCAAUGUAGGCGCAGCAGAGAAGUAUGCUCCAAUCCUAUCUAAUAAUCUUUACGUCUAAAUUAAGAGGCCAACCAAUAAUAAUUUGAAAAAUUAUUACAUAAAACGGGAAAUGAUAAACCUCCCUCACUUGCAUGCUUGUGAGACCCACUAAUGCAGUUGAGAUGGGGAGCACCAACUCCAGUCGAGUACAGUAAUUUUCAAUAACGAUAUAGUUGAUUAAUAUAUAGUUAAAAAACACAAAUUAAAAUGCUAUAUCCUGAUUAAUUUUGCGUCAAAGCUUCCAAAUUCCUUCGUAAU